GACAGAGGGUGCUAGCGUUGUUCGGAAUUACUGGGCGUAAAGGGCGCGUAGGCGGUCUGUUAAGUUCGGUGUGAAACCUUGGGGCUCAACCCCAAGCCUGCACUGGAUACUGUCGAGCUCGAGUCCGGGAGGGGAGAGCGGAAUUCCUAGUGUAGCGGUGGAAUGCGCAGAUAUCGGGAGGAACACCUGUGGCGAAAGCGGCGCACUGGACCAUAACUGACGCUGAUGCGCGAAAGCUAGGGGAGCAAACAGG
This 253-nucleotide ribosomal RNA is filed under the name uncultured bacterium. RNAcentral describes it as "partial 16S ribosomal RNA". It matches the Rfam family "Bacterial small subunit ribosomal RNA", at positions 524 to 776 of the family's 1533-position model. The record is from RNAcentral.